GGCGCCGGGAAGGCGGAGGCGCCAGGACGACCGCGGCCAGCUCCGCUCGCUCUGCUCACCUGCGCCCCUGCCCACAGCGCUCCGCAGUCAGGAGCGCCCCGCCCCGCGGGGAACGCCCCGGGCCCCUCGGGGUCCCCCUGGUCUCUCCUACUUCCCUUCUGGAAGGUGGCCAACACUUCUGGGCCGCCCGGGUGGACCUCAAAGAGAACGUCUUUAAAUGUCCAGUGGCCAAGGGUUCUGUAGCCGACUAGGAGUCAGCGUCCGAAUCGGAACAACUCAAGACCUCUUUUCAGGGGGCGUCCAGUGAGUUUUUUUCAGCAAGGUGACUCCCCCUGUGGCUGCCUGCUACUACAGCUGGAAAGGUCCAAGCUGAAAUGUGACUAAUCUGAGUUUCUUCCACCAAGCAUGUUAGUUAGGGGUGGAGGACUAGAACCUAGAACCCUGAAUUCGAGCCUGGAAGAUAUGUAAGCCACAUGCUAUUGAGAUCGUGGUCAUGGGACACCCGCUAACACAAACCUUCUGGUAGGAAGUUUUUGAGAAGACUGGGUCCAAUAUCCCCAAGCUAAAAUCCCACUGGCCCAUCGCUGUGUUUGCUCAGAAAAGGAAUCUGGGUUCUUUGGUUUCUGCUUUCCAGUUGACCCUGGUUGCUCCUCUGUUUUACGGCAUUUUGGGAGUCAGUCUCCCAGAGCAGCGCUGAUUGUAAUGAGAAGCGCGUUCCCUCUCUGGGGGACAGGAGCAGUGGGAGACAAAUGGGCCUGGGAAAGAGCUCCUCCAAAUAAAACUUAUUCGACAGAUACGGGUUAUGGUGGUGAUGGUGGUGGUGGUGGUGGUGGUGGUGGUGUUUUGGUCUUUAUCCUGUUGUACAGCGCCUCAUUUUUUACAAUGUGGGCCAGUAACUAUUUCGUAUCACCUACUCUGACCACCUUCAGGGUUGUUAUGAGGCUCAAAGGAACUGCUGCUGUGAAAAAACAUGCUUUGCAAUUUAUGAAGCACUGGAUAAACAUCAGGAACGGUAUAAAAGCAUGCUGCUUACUCAAGAAAUACUAGUUGAGUGCCUGUGUGUUGGGCACUGGCUAGAGAUAAGGGUCUCCUAUGGACAGAAGUGCGGGCAAGGAGCUUUGUUCCUCCCCGAUGUCACCCUCCCACAGCCCACUUGCUAGCAGGCGAGAGAGGGGUGGAGGCCGGCAGUAAGGCAUGUACUGAACUGGACCUCUGGUGGAAUGGCAUCACCCACGCUGGGCUUGACUCUUACCAUCAGGGUCCUGCCAACCCUUCAGUGAGACUUUUUCCAAAGAAUCCCUUUUAAAAUGACCUCAAGCUGACCUUCCUGCUGCAGAUUCCACAUAUGGUAUCUGAGACUCACACAGUGUGGUUGGAAGAUAGUACAGUGACCUCCCAGGCACAGCCCGCUGCCAGCCCUCCACUGGCUGCCCUAGGAUGCUGGCCUUCCUCCGAUGGGAGUCGGGCCCAGUCUGCUGUCAGCCAGGAGAAGCCAGCAAGCUCCCUGCGAGGCCUGGAGGAGCCCUUCUCACUCAGCUUGGUGUUCGAUGCCAGUGCCCCCGCCCAUUGUGGGGUGAGGGUGGGACUCUCAGCACAGCCCUGUCCAAAUAAAUCCUCUAAAG
RNAcentral lists this long non-coding RNA (1622 nucleotides) under Pan troglodytes (chimpanzee). Its description in RNAcentral is "long non-coding RNA NONPTRT014830". The record is from RNAcentral. Lineage: Eukaryota; Metazoa; Chordata; Mammalia; Primates; Hominidae.